AUAGAAGAUCCUUCCAUUUUAAAUGACAUCAGGACACACAUGGAGGACACAAGGCUAGAUCCUAUGCAUGUGCCUUUCAGCAUGGUACAUAUAAUGAGGCAAGAGGAGAGAAUCCAUGUUUCAAAUGUCAAACCACCUGGUCCUUUGCCAGAUAUAUCUAGAUUUGUUGCUGAUGCCAGGGACUCCAUUCCUGAGAGAAGAACAAUUACUACUGCUACAAC
Triticum aestivum (bread wheat) is the source of this 221-nucleotide long non-coding RNA. RefSeq lists it as uncharacterized. The record is from RefSeq and is a predicted model, not a curated record. Lineage: Eukaryota; Viridiplantae; Streptophyta; Magnoliopsida; Poales; Poaceae. The transcript is spliced from 3 exons.